Molecule: ribosomal RNA, 555 nt
Filed under: uncultured archaeon
Lineage: Archaea
Description: bacterial SSU rRNA
Rfam family: Archaeal small subunit ribosomal RNA
Source: RNAcentral
ACGGGGAGCAGCAGGCGCGAAACCUUUACACUGCGCGACAGUGCGAUAGGGGGAUCCCAAGUGCACAGGCAUAGCGCCUGUGCUUUUCGGUACCGUAAGGUGGUACCAGAAUAAGGGCUGGGCAAGACCGGUGCCAGCCGCCGCGGUAAUACCGGCAGCCCAAGUGAUGGCCGAUCUUAUUGGGCCUAAAGCGUCCGUAGCUGGCCGCGCAAGUCCAUCGGGAAUUCCACCUGCUCAACAGGUGGGCACCCGGUAGAAACUGCGUGGCUUGGGACCGGAAGGCGCGACGGGUACGUCCGGGGUAGGAGUGAAAUCCCGUAAUCCUGGACGGACCGCCGAUGGCGAAAGCACGUCGCGAGGACGGAUCCGACAGUGAGGGACGAGAGCCAGGGUCUCGAACCGGAUUAGAUACCCGGGUAGUCCUGGCCGUAAACAAUGUCUGCUAGGUGUGGCUCCCACUACGAGUGGGUGCUGUGCCGUAGGGAAGCCGCUAAGCAGACCGCCUGGGAAGUACGUCCGCAAGGAUGAAACUUAAAGGAAUUGGCGGGGGAGCAC